AUGGCAAUACAUUCAUUCUGCCAUUUGGAGGAGCCUGCGCCACAGAAUAAUGAUCUGAAAAGAGCUAAUGUAUUUGCAAGGAAGAGUCCUCAUUUGUGCAAUAGUGUUGAUGCAGCUAAGAGGUGCCUUGCCAAGUUCAGCACAGCCUGCCAUGCUUGGACGGAACCGUUUUUUCUUCGAAGAAUAAACAGAAUGCUGCAUCUAAAGAGUAAGAAGUUACAGACUUACUUCCUUGCUUUCUUCAAAAACAGAAGGAUGCUUUUAAAGAUAAAGAUUUUGAAAUGAAGAAUAAAAAAGGAGAAUGUUUUCAGAAAAAGAGUUUAUAACGGACCUGAUAAAUACAUGUGUUAUCUUUUAAAAAUAUUUAACUCAAGUGAAGCUCCUGUAUGGCAAGCCUCAAGACCAAGAUCAGUGUCUUGUCUUGCUUUUCUGAUGUGCAAAAUGAAGCUCGUCCAAUAUGUGUUACUCCAGAAAGAAUUAAGAUAAUUGAAGUCAGAAUAUCUAAACUUGGAUCACUUGCAAAAACCAUUUUGGUAGGUGUAGGUUGCUUGUCUGAAAUCUGUUCUGAAGCUUCAGUGCAAAGCAAGUACAGCACUAAUGAUGGAUGUGAAUGGACAUCUUAA
Chrysolophus pictus (golden pheasant) is the source of this 623-nucleotide long non-coding RNA. Lineage: Eukaryota; Metazoa; Chordata; Aves; Galliformes; Phasianidae. The record is from Ensembl.